Molecule: ribosomal RNA, 946 nt
Filed under: uncultured organism
Description: bacterial SSU rRNA
Rfam family: Bacterial small subunit ribosomal RNA
Source: RNAcentral
CGUGCCAGCAGCCGCGGUAAGACGUAGGACACAAGCGUUAUUCGGAUUUACUGGGCGUAAAGCGUCUGCAGGCGGACAGGUAAGUUGGGCGUGAAAGCUCCGGGCCCAACCCGGAGAGGUCGUUCAAUACUGCGUGUCUAGAGGGUGUCAGAGGGGAGUGGAAUUUCCGGAGUAGCGGUAAAAUGCGCAGAGAUCGGAAAGAACACCAAUGGCGAAGGCAGCUCCCUGGGGCAACCCUGACGCUAAGAGACGAAAGCUAGGGGAGCGAACAGGAUUAGAGACCCUGGUAGUCCUAGCCCUAAACGGUGGAUGCUGGAUGUGGGGCCAUAGCGCUCCGUGUCGAAGCGAACGCGUUAAGCAUCCCGCCUGGGGACUACGGCCGCAAGGUUAAAACUCAAACGAAUUGACGGGACCCCGCACAAGCAGCGGAGCGUGUGGUUUAAUUCGAUGCUACACGAAGAACCUUACCUGGGUUUGACACCUAGGUGGUGGUGAAGCGAAAGCGGAGCGACCCUUCGGGGAGCCUAGACAGGUGCUGCAUGGCUGUCGUCAGCUCGUGCCGUGAGGUGUCGGGUUAAGUCCCGUAACGAGCGCAACCCUUGCCCUCCGUUAUACGUGUCAGAGGGGACUGCCGGCGGUAAGCCGGAGGAAGGUGGGGAUGACGUCAAGUCAGCAUGGCCUUUAUAUCCAGGGCUACACACACGCUACAAUGGCCAGUACAAAGGGCAGCGAAGCCGCGAGGUGGAGCGAAUCCCAGCAAGGCUGGUCGUAGUUCGGAUUGCAGGCUGCAACCCGCCUGCAUGAAGCUGGAGUUGCUAGUAACCGCGCGUCAGCCAUAGUGCGGUGAAUACGUUCCCGGGGUUUGUACACACCGCCCGUCACGUCAUGGGAGUCGAUAACGCCUGAAGCCGGUGGCCUAGCUCGGAAGAGAGGGCGCUGUCUAAGG